Molecule: long non-coding RNA, 457 nt
Filed under: Androctonus crassicauda
Lineage: Eukaryota; Metazoa; Arthropoda; Arachnida; Scorpiones; Buthidae
Source: RNAcentral
UAUGCAUGUAUAUAUACAUAUAUAUGGGGGUUUCUAUAUUUAUGUGGGAGCCGCUUGGCUUUAUGCGGUUCUUGGCUCUGGUCUCAUCCUUCAGAGUGUCGCUGAUGUACAUGGAAGCAUUGGCCCGUUUUUGGCGAGCUUCAUGGACCGACCAUCUUGUCGCGCGUAGCGGCCUGUAGGAGUAUAGAUGCGGGUUGGGGGCUGGAGGUGCAGUGUUGGUCAUAAGUUGUUGACUGCGCACCGUUUCCGUGAUGGAGGGAGCGCAUGGGGGGUGUUGUUGUUGAUAGUGGUGUGGGAGCGUUUCAUCUUCUCGAUCUGGAUGGCUUCCGGCGUGCUCAGUCCGGUGGUCUGGUGCGUUGGUCUUGGCAGGGUUGCGUCCGCCCAGUCAGCAGUGAUUCUUUGUUCGUAGGCCUUACAUGCCAACGCGGUAGUCUGUCUAGCCGCAAGUAUAUCGGAC